AGAGUUUGAUCAUGGCUCAGAAUCAACGCUGGCGGCGCGCCUAACACAUGCAAGUCGAACGAGAAGGUGGAGCAAUCCAUGAGUACAGUGGCGUACGGGUGAGUAACACGUGGGUAAUCUACCUCUUAGUGGGGAAUAACCCUGGGAAACCGGGGCUAAUACCGCAUAAGCUCGAGAGAGGAAAGCAGCAAUGCGCUGAGAGAGGAGCCCGCGGCCGAUUAGCUAGUUGGUAGGGUAAAAGCCUACCAAGGCAAAGAUCGGUAGCCGGCCUGAGAGGGCACACGGCCACACUGGCACUGAAACACGGGCCAGACUCCUACGGGAGGCAGCAGUGGGGAAUCUUGCACAAUGGGGGAAACCCUGAUGCAGCGACGCCGCGUGAGCGAUGAAGCCCUUCGGGGUGUAAAGCUCUUUCGGCAGGGAAGAUUAUGACGGUACCUGCAGAAGCAGCUGCGGCUAACUACGUGCCAGCAGCCGCGGUAAUACGUAGGCAGCAAGCGUUGUUCGGAGUUACUGGGCGUAAAGGGUGUGUAGGCGGUUUGGUAAGUCUGGUGUGAAAUCUCCCGGCUCAACUGGGAGGGUGCGCCGGAAACUGCCGGACUAGAGUGCGGGAGAGGAGAGUGGAAUUCCUGGUGUAGCGGUGAAAUGCGUAGAUAUCAGGAGGAACACCGGUGGUGUAGACGGCUCUCUGGACCGUAACUGACGCUGAGACACGAAAGCGUGGGUAGCAAACAGGAUUAGAUACCCUGGUAGUCCACGCCCUAAACGAUGCAUAUUUGGUGUGGGUCAUUCAGUUGAUCCGUGCCGGAGCUAACGCGUUAAAUAUGCCGCCUGGGGAGUACAGUCGCAAGGCUGAAACUCAAAGGAAUUGACGGGGGCCCGCACAAGCGGUGGAGCAUGUGGUUCAAUUCGACGCAACGCGAAGAACCUUACCUGGGCUCGAACGGCCGGUCAACGGCGGUGGAAACAUCGCUACCCCGCAAGGGGG
RNAcentral lists this ribosomal RNA (988 nucleotides) under uncultured bacterium. Its description in RNAcentral is "bacterial SSU rRNA". It matches the Rfam family "Bacterial small subunit ribosomal RNA", at positions 8 to 1027 of the family's 1533-position model. The record is from RNAcentral.